Rhipicephalus sanguineus (brown dog tick) is the source of this 556-nucleotide long non-coding RNA. RefSeq lists it as uncharacterized. The transcript has 3 exons. The record is from RefSeq and is a predicted model, not a curated record. Lineage: Eukaryota; Metazoa; Arthropoda; Arachnida; Ixodida; Ixodidae.
UUUGGUUGAUUGAACUCUAAUGUCGUCUUAAUUCUGUUAGCAAUUACUUUUGUAAAUAGCUUGUAGACAACGGACAGUAAGCUGAUGGGCCUGUAAUUUUUCAGGUCCUUGACGUCCCCUUUCUUAUGGAUCAGGAUGAUGUUGGCAUUCUUCCAAGAUUCUUCAGACUCAAAUAGAGCCGUGAGUCUGAGUGAGCCCGAGUCAGUAAUAUUUUGGCUUUGAUGUCAAGCUGCAGAGUUCGGAAGACGGGAACUUUUGGACAGUGUUAGCUGUGACACCUACUAUGAAACGAAUCCAGCAACUCGAUACAACAAGAGAGAUCAUUUUUGUUGACUCAACGUCAUCGUGCGACUCAAUGCACAGCACUGUGACAGUGAUGCUGGCCUCAACAAAAGCCGGUGCUGUACCAAUAGCUGUAUUGAUACACAACGCACAGUCGACUCAAGGCUACACCACUGCAUUCAGCCUCCUGAAGGAAAGCUACCCGCUCUGCUUUGGAGGACUCACAUGCUGCCAGACAUUCAUGACAGACAAUUCAACAGCAGAGAAAGCAGCC